RNAcentral lists this ribosomal RNA (445 nucleotides) under uncultured bacterium. RNAcentral describes it as "bacterial SSU rRNA". It matches the Rfam family "Bacterial small subunit ribosomal RNA", at positions 355 to 796 of the family's 1533-position model. The record is from RNAcentral.
UGAGGAAUAUUCCACAAUGGGCGAAAGCCUGAUGGAGCGACGCCGCGUGCGGGAUGAAGCCCUUUGGGGUGUAAACCGCUUUUCUUCGGGAUGAUACGUCAGGUUAGUAGCCUGACUAAGACAGUACCGAAGGAAUAAGCCUCGGCUAACUACGUGCCAGCAGCCGCGGUAAUACGUAGGAGGCGAGCGUUGUCCGGAUUUACUGGGCGUAAAGCGCGCGCAGGCGGCAGUGUAAGUAAGGUGUGAAAUCUCCCUGCUCAACGGGGAGGGUGCACUUUAGACUACACAGCUUGAGGUCGGUAGAGGGGGGUGGAAUUGCUGGUGUAGCGGUGAAAUGCGUAGAGAUCAGCAGGAACACCCGUGGCGAAGGCGGCCCCCUGGGCCGUACCUGACGCUGAGGCGCGAAGGCUAGGGGAGCGAACGGGAUUAGAUACCCCCGUAGUCC